UAGCGUCACUUCCUGUUAUGGCGCCGAUUGGCCCACACUCAGGAGUGUGGGCGUGGCGCCAGGGUUCGGAGUCGGCAAGUUUGGGGCUGGACUGUUGAACCAUGGCUGCGAUCAAAAUCGCUAACCCUGGCGCUGAAGUGACCCGGAGCCAAGCGGCCUUGGCUGUGAACAUCUGCGCCGCCCGUGGGCUGCAGGAUGUGCUGCGUCCCACCUUGGGUCCUAAGGGCGCGCUAAAAAUGCUUGUUUCUGGGGCAGGUGACAUCAAACUCACCAAAGACGGCAAUGUACUGCUUCAUGAGAUGCAAAUUCAACACCCAACGGCUUCCAUCAUUGCAAAAGUGGCAGCAGCCCAAGACCAUGUCACAGGGGAUGGCACUACCUCAAAUGUCCUGAUCAUUGGAGAGUUGCUAAAGCAAGCUGAUCUUUACAUUUCUGAGGGCCUGCACCCUAGAAUCAUAACUGAAGGAUUUGAUGUUGCAAAGACGAAAGCACUUGAAGUUUUGGAUGAAAUUAAAGUACAAAAGGAGAUGAAAAGAGAAAUCCUCUUGGAUGUGGCUAGAACAUCCCUGCAGACGAAAGUUCAUGCUGAACUGGCCGACAUACUAACAGAGGCUGUGGUGGAUUCUGUCUUGGCUAUCAGAAGACCAGGUGUCCCUAUUGAUCUCUUCAUGGUGGAAAUUGUGGAGAUGAGGCACAAGUCAGAAACGGACACACAGUUGAUCCGAGGAUUGGUUUUGGACCAUGGUGCCCGUCAUCCAAGGAUGAGGAAGCAGGUGCGAGAUGCAUACAUCCUCACUUGCAAUGUCUCACUAGAGUAUGAAAAAACAGAAGUGAGCUCUGGUUUCUUUUAUAAGACUGUAGAAGAGAAAGAGAAAUUGGUAAAAGCUGAAAGAAAAUUUAUUGAAGAUAGAGUGCAGAAAAUAAUAGACCUAAAGCAGAAAGUCUGUGCUGAGUCCAAUAAAGGAUUUGUUGUCAUUAAUCAAAAGGGCAUCGAUCCGGUUUCCUUAGAAAUGCUUGCAAAACAUAACAUCGUAGCUCUUCGCAGGGCAAAAAGAAGGAAUCUUGAAAGGCUCACCCUUGCUUGUGGAGGAUUGGCUGUCAACUCCUUUGAAGGCCUGAGUGAAGAGUGCCUGGGGCACGCUGGCCUUGUCUUCGAGUACGCAUUGGGUGAAGAAAAGUUCACUUUUAUUGAGGACUGUGUAAAUCCGCUCUCUGUCACCUUGUUGGUCAAAGGGCCAAAUAAGCAUACUCUCAUACAGAUCAAGGACGCCUUAAGAGAUGGACUCCGUGCGGUCAAAAAUGCUAUUGAAGACGGCUGUGUGGUUCCAGGGGCUGGGGCAGUGGAAGUUGCGAUAGCAGAAGCUCUUGUUAACUACAAGCACCGUGUGCAGGGAAGAGUUCGCCUGGGGAUCCAAGCCUUUGCUGAUGCCUUGCUCAUCAUCCCGAAGGUUCUUGCUCAGAAUUCUGGUUAUGACCUGCAGGAAACACUGAUAAAAAUUCAAACUAAACAUGCCGAAUCAAAAGAACUCCUGGGCAUAGACCUGAACACAGGGGAGCCGAUGGCAGCAGCAGAAGCAGGAAUCUGGGAUAAUUACUGUGUGAAAAAACAUCUUCUUCACUCUUGCACGGUGAUUGCCACCAACAUCCUCCUGGUUGAUGAAAUUAUGCGAGCUGGGAUGUCUUCUCUUAGAGACUGAUUGAAUUCCAAAUCAAUUCAUCUGGAAGACAAGAUUUUAUACGUGUCAUACCCAGCAGCGUCACAUGGCCUUAACUGUUAGAAAAUAAAGAGACCUUUCCUGGACCACAGGAGGAAGGAAAAGAACUCUUGGUUGACUGAAGCCUCAUUAUUGUCAUUUCUGGCAAGUUGAGCCUUGAGCACCCCAACGUACAGAAUGCCUGCUGGAGCGUAGCGGGGAGCACACAGAAGCCCCAGCCCUAGGAAAGCUUGCCUCACCACCUCUGGAUCCCAGGAAUGAUAUCAACUGUGCUGAACAGUGACUUAGAAGAGUUGGACUCUAAGGAUAAAGUUUGCAGAGUGCCUUAUUCAUCUUGCCUAAGCUUUAUUUAGUAUGAAUCCACUGACAGUGAUCUAUGGUAAAGUCGGUAUAAACAAGUCCUAAAAGCUCCUCUGGUAAGGAUAAAUAAAGUGUAUGAGUGUCAAGAAAGCAUUGUCAUGGUUGAAGUGACAAUAUAUUUUUCUCUUAGUGUAUAAAAAGAUGGCACGUCUCAUAGGCAGUGAUGUUUUAGAUUUGAUGAAAUAUUACAUUUUAUCCAUUUCUGGCUCAAUGCUAAUAUCUAUUUAGAAAGGUUUUGGGGGGGGUGCGUUUUUAUUGAAUUGAAAACUCAAAUGGCAGCAAAUAAGCAGUGAGUGAGCAAGCAACUUCCUCUUGCCACAGCAAAUGCAUUCAGUUCUCAGAUGUAUAGCUCUGGCUGAUACGUGGCUUGUUUUCCUUUCUAAGUUAGGUGACCGCCAGUGUUGAGCUUACAGCAUGAGUUAUCUGGGGAGCAUCUUUGUCUUUCCCGUGGCACAGUUUUAGCCAUGAUGAUGAAGGGUUUUCUGUUUCCUGAAAGCUUGGUCUGGCCUAGCAGUGUUUAAAUGGAGAAUAGACUUUUGACUCAAUUUUCUUUAUUGCUUGAGGUCUCAGAUUUUCUAUCAUUUUGAGACUGUUUUGGUAAUUUAUAUUUUUAUAGAAAUCCACUAUAAAAUUUUUUUUUUAAAGAUUUAUUUUUUAUUAUUAUAUCUAAGUACACUGUAGCUGUCUUCAGAUGCACCAGAAGAGGACAUCAUAUUUCAUUACAGAUGGUUGUGAGCCACCAUAUGGUUGCUGAGAUUUGAACUCAGGACCUUCAGAAGAGCAGUCGGUGCUCUUAACCACUGAGCCAUCUCUCCAGCCCCCAAAAUUUUUUUUCCUUAAGGUUUAUUUGUGCUACCUCUUUUGAUGUGGGGAGUGAGAAAGGGCAUUUUAUUUUUAUUUUUGAUAUGUUGUGGAUUGAACAUAUCUAGGGCCUUGCAUGUGCUUGCAUCUGCCACUGAGCUACAUCCCUAGCUCUAGAUAAUAUCUUUCUUAAGGUUUUGGUUAAUUUUUUCCUUAUUACUGACACGAAUUUAUUUCUAACACAUAGUUCUGGUGUUCUUAAAUCUAUAAACUUCACUGUUAUCAUCUUAACUCAUUUAAAAUCAUAAUUGUGUUGGGGCACACAUGCCACAGUGAGCAUGUGUGGUCAGAGUUGGUAACUGGAGUUGGUUCUCUCACGCCUUCUUUCUAAGUUCCUGUAGCCAGCUGAACUACCCCACUCCUUUCAUUAUAUCCAAUUUUGUCUGGUGCCCUUCUUCUUCCUCUGCAGGUUUGAAAAUGAUACAUUCAGACCCUAAGCCCCUGUCCAGAUCUCUCUCACUCAUUUUUAUCUCUUCUAUAUUAAAUCUCCAGUGCCAGUUAAGCAGACCAGCUCUGUCCCCCUCUGCUCUGAUUCCUAUUUUCUUUUAUUCUCUAUUCUUUUUUUUUUCAUUUUCUUUUUGAUAGAUCUUCCCAAAGAACAUAAAUGAGACUACUUUUUUGAGAGAGGUCUCUGUGCCUCAGCCUUUCAGGAGGCCGAUUGCUUAGUUGACUUAAUUGAAUUGAUUUGCCUUUCUUCUUAUACUUAUUCUUUUAGCCAGAGGCCGCACCUCUCCUCUUACCCCACUCCCAUCCAUACAAAGCACAAAGCAACACAUGAGAUCCUAUGGGGUACCAUGAGAGGGGAAAUCUGUGAAUCAUGGGCAUAGAAGAAUAACUUUGCACUAAAAGAAUAGAAAAAUUUCAGUAAGGUCAUAGCAGAAAAUUGACCAAAUUUAGUGGUAGAGGUGCUCAUCCCAGGUAUAGGGGGCCUGUAGAACACCUAACAUACAAGGCUAGAAAAGAACCCCCAUGACAAAUAGUUAAAAACACCGAAUUUACAGAUCAAAGAAACCAUAUUGAAAACAGCAAAAGAGAAACCAGUUAUACAUAAAGACUGGUCCAUCAGAAUAACCCUGGAAUUCUCAAC
This is an RNA transcript of Mus musculus (house mouse), 4023 nucleotides long. It is a transcript of the gene named chaperonin containing TCP1 subunit 6B, with no coding region annotated. The record is from RefSeq and is marked validated. NCBI's taxonomy places the organism in Eukaryota, Metazoa, Chordata, Mammalia, Rodentia, Muridae. The transcript has 15 exons.